This is a long non-coding RNA of Talpa occidentalis (Iberian mole), 974 nucleotides long. RefSeq lists it as uncharacterized. The transcript has 5 exons. The record is from RefSeq and is a predicted model, not a curated record. NCBI's taxonomy places the organism in Eukaryota, Metazoa, Chordata, Mammalia, Eulipotyphla, Talpidae.
GGGCUUCUACCCUUCGAACAUUACCCUGACCUGGCAGCGAGAUGGGGAGGACCUGACCCAGGACACAGAGCUGGUGGAGACCAGGCCUGGUGGGGAUGGAAACUUCCAAAAGUGGGCGGCUGUAGUGGUGGCUUCUGGAGAGGAGCAGAGAUACAUGUGCCAUGUGCAGCAUGAGGGGCUGCUGGAGUCCCGAAUCCUGACUUGGGGUAAGGAGGGAAUGUGAGCACAGAGCUUCUCAGGGUCAUCAGGAGCCCUUCUGGAGAUCUUCAGAGGGUCAGGUUGAGGCCUGGGGCUCAGGGUCUCCCCUUCCCGUCCCUUCCAGUGCCCCUUCCUCAGUCCACUGUCCCUACUGACUCCACCGACUCCACCGUGGGCCACAUUGUUGGCCUGGUUCUCCUUGGAGCUGUGCUCACUGGAGCUUGGUGGCUGCAGCUGUGAUGUGGAGGAAGAAGCGCUCAGGGGGACACGCAAUCAACUAGUCAGGCUGCAGUCCAAGGUCAAGAAGGAAGUGCAAGUUCUUCACGUGUCUCUCUGCUCCGUGUGCCUCCUCCAGGGCUCCUUCUGGCUCCAUCCUGCUUCCUUCCUUCUCCAGUCUCUUCUCCAGCUGCUUCUUCUCCCUGCUCAGCUCAACCCUGCUUAGGAGUCUCCCCAUCUUCCUAGUAAGUGCCCUGGGGGCUCUCCUAGGCCCCGCCCUUCAUCCAAGGAUGGAGAAUGUAAGGGCCUCCUUGGUGGCGCAAGGGGUUAAGAUGCAGCCUAUGAAGCUAUCUGCAGCCACUACAGCACAAGUUCGAUCCCCAGCCAGGAAGCUACCAACAUGGCGCAGCAGACCUCUCCUGACCUCCCAGCUGCUCCCCUCAGCAGUGUGUUUCAGUCAGUUUGCCUGUUCUGCUCCCCACUCUGUCUCUGGUGAAUCCUGUCACCCCAACACCUCUGGUCUGUACCCCAGUUCUUGUAUGCAUAAAUAAAUAAAUCUU